GUGUCAGCCGCCGCGGUAAUACGUAGGUGGCAAGCGUUGUCCGGAAUUAUUGGGCGUAAAGCGCGCGCAGGCGGUUUCUUAAGUCUGAUGUGAAAUCCCACGGCUUAACUGUGGAGCUUCAUUGGAAACUGGGAGACUUGAGUGCAGGAGAGGAAAGUGGAAUUCCUAGUGUAGCGGUGAAAUGCGUAGAGAUUUGGAGGAACACCAGUGGCGAAGGCGACUUUCUGGACUGAAACUGACGCUGAGGCGCGA
RNAcentral lists this ribosomal RNA (252 nucleotides) under uncultured bacterium. RNAcentral describes it as "partial 16S rRNA". It matches the Rfam family "Bacterial small subunit ribosomal RNA", at positions 505 to 756 of the family's 1533-position model. The record is from RNAcentral.